AGCUAGAGUUUGAUCCUGGCUCAGGACGAACGCUGGCGGCAUGCCUAACACAUGCAAGUCGAACGGAGACAGCAAUGUCUUAGUGGCGAACGGGGUGAGUAACGCGUGAGCAACCUGCCUCGUACAACGGGGAUACCUGCGAGAAAAUUGCAGUUAAUACGGUAUAAAGACCACGCCGUCGCAUGACGGAGGGGUAAAAGGGAGCAAUUCCGGUAUGAGAUGGGCUCGCGUCGCAUUAGCUAGUUGGUGGGGUAACGGCCUACCAAGGCGACGAUGCGUAGCCGACCUGAGAGGGUAAUCGGCCACAUUGGGACUGAGAUACGGCCCAGACACCUACGGGUGGCAGCAGUGAGGAAUAUUCCGCAAUGGGCGAAAGCCUGACGGAGCAAUGCCGCGUGAAUGAAGAAGGUCUUCGGAUUGUAAAGUUCUUUAGUCAGGGACGAAGAAAGUGACGGUACCUGAAGAAUAAGCCCCGGCUAACUACGUGCC
Molecule: ribosomal RNA, 489 nt
Filed under: uncultured bacterium
Lineage: Bacteria
Description: bacterial SSU rRNA
Rfam family: Bacterial small subunit ribosomal RNA
Source: RNAcentral